Molecule: ribosomal RNA, 377 nt
Filed under: uncultured delta proteobacterium
Lineage: Bacteria; Deltaproteobacteria
Description: bacterial SSU rRNA
Rfam family: Bacterial small subunit ribosomal RNA
Source: RNAcentral
UAAUACGGAGGGUGCAAGCGUUGUUCGGAAUUAUUGGGCGUAAAGGGCGCGUAGGCGGGCUUUUAAGUCCGGUGUGAAAUCCCUCGGCUUAACCGAGGACGUGCAUUGGAAACUGAAAGUCUUGAGUCCUGGAGAGGAAAGCGGAAUUCCCAGUGUAGAGGUGAAAUUCGUAGAUAUUGGGAGGAACACCAGCGGCGAAGGCGGCUUUCUGGACAGUGACUGACGCUGAGGCGCGAAAGCGUGGGUAGCAAACAGGAUUAGAUACCCUGGUAGUCCACGCCGUAAACGAUGGGUACUAGUUGGUGCGGGUAUUGACCCCUGCGCUGACGCAGCUAACGCAUUAAGUACCCCGCCUGGGGAGUACGGCCGCAAGGCUA